Molecule: long non-coding RNA, 1230 nt
Filed under: Mus musculus (house mouse)
Lineage: Eukaryota; Metazoa; Chordata; Mammalia; Rodentia; Muridae
Description: small nucleolar RNA host gene 17
Rfam family: Small nucleolar RNA SNORA71 (bases 634-746)
Source: RNAcentral
CUCUGGCCAUUGCCAUCCGCCCAAAUCUACAGACAUCCCGCAUGUUCCCGGGCUCGUCUCCCCAAUACAGGGCACCAAGGACCCCGGGUGCAGCAUCUGGGUCCCCCUGCCCCGCCCUGCCUUGCGCCGCAGCCGCUUCCGUUGUCCUGCCAGGCUGUAGACUGCGCAGCCCUCCUGGAGACAGAUGGAAGCUCCUUGGGUCGACAGAUUACAGCUUCUGGAACCCCCUACUCCCUUCAACUCCGAGAUGGACACCCACUGUCCAGGGAGAGGAUGCCUGGAAAUAACAGCUGGGAUCUACAGUGGCCAAAGAGUUGUCUCCGUCUUGCUACAUCGACAAACUGGUGCUCCUGAGUGAGGAUUGUGCCCUGGGAUGGGGGAUUCAGUUUCUUCAUUUAUAGUUGGAAGUGGGUGAAGUGCCAGGAGCGACGGUACACUCCAGAGUGCUGUGCCCUGAUGGGCCUUUGAGUGGCCAGUGCAGUGGAUCAUCAGCCCUGUCUCCCAAGAGCUCCAGUCCCUUCUCCGGAGAGGAAGUGGGUCCACUGGCAGCUCAGGAGGCCAUAGCAGAUUGUGGGGCUCUGUGCAGUUGAUGUUAGUUAACCACUGGAUCCACGUGUUCACCGUGGCUUGCGCCCCUGCAUCCGAAAGUGAUCUUGGCUGCCGUGUCCUGGUCAUUGGUAGUGCAGGGAAAGGAUGCGGAAAGACGGGCUCCGAGCUCGGGGCGUCUGGCCUGGAGCUUUCCUACACUUGUGUCUUGCUCUGCAGCCUUACGGAAGUGUGGGUGGCGCUUUCUGGAAGCUGCACAAGUCAGUGCUGGGUCUUCGCAACUUGGUGUUCUGUUUCCAGAAACUUGGGGUGUUUGCAUGUGCUAGGUCAGCACAGAUUUCCAAAGGAUCUCUAGGAUUGUCACGUGUGCUCAACAGUCCUCCUCGGCUUUCCAGAAGAGGCUGGAACAGGGCCCUUGAAGAUGUUUGUGGACAUCAGAGGGCCAAAGACGACACAAAGUGAAACUGGAGACACCGCCCCCCCUUGGCAUCAUGAAACUGCCGAUGUUACUGGCUCAUGCAUGGGAGACACCAGCAUACAAAGUCUUGACACCAACACCUCAGAGGGCUGUGUUCUGUCCCCGUGACCAUCAUCUAGUGCCUGGAAAGACUAGUGACAAGAACUUGUUGCCAACUUCCUAUUACCUCCCUAACAGUUGUGCAAUAAACCCCAUAGGUUAAUUCA